This 254-nucleotide ribosomal RNA is filed under the name uncultured bacterium. RNAcentral describes it as "partial 16S ribosomal RNA". It matches the Rfam family "Bacterial small subunit ribosomal RNA", at positions 524 to 776 of the family's 1533-position model. The record is from RNAcentral.
UACGGGGGGAGCAAGCGUUGUUCGGAUUUACUGGGCGUAAAGGGCGCGUAGGCGGUCAGCACAAGUCAGUUGUGAAAUCUCCGGGCUUAACCCGGAAAGGUCAACUGAUACUGUGCGACUAGAGUGCGGAAGGGGCAACUGGAAUUCUCGGUGUAGCGGUGAAAUGCGUAGAUAUCGAGAGGAAUACCGGUGGCGAAGGCGGCAUCCUGGACCGGCAUUGACGCUGAGGAGCGAAAGCCAGGGGAGCAAACGGG